AACGAACGCUGGCGGCAGGCCUAACACAUGCAAGUCGAACGCUCGUAGCAAUACGGGAGUGGCAGACGGGUGCGUAACACGUGGGAACAUACCCUUUGGUUCGGAAUAACUCAGGGAAACUUGAGCUAAUACCGGAUAAGCCCGAGAGGGGAAAGAUUUAUCGCCGAAGGAUUGGCCCGCGUCUGAUUAGCUAGUUGGUGAGGUAAUGGCUCACCAAGGCGACGAUCAGUAGCUGGUCUGAGAGGAUGAUCAGCCACACUGGGACUGAGACACGGCCCAGACUCCUACGGGAGGCAGCAGUGGGGAAUAUUGGACAAUGGGCGCAAGCCUGAUCCAGCCAUGCCGCGUGAGUGAUGAAGGCCUUAGGGUUGUAAAGCUCUUUUACCCGGGAAGAUAAUGACGG
RNAcentral lists this ribosomal RNA (403 nucleotides) under uncultured Beijerinckiaceae bacterium. RNAcentral's name for it is "bacterial SSU rRNA". It matches the Rfam family "Bacterial small subunit ribosomal RNA", at positions 29 to 457 of the family's 1533-position model. The record is from RNAcentral. Lineage: Bacteria; Pseudomonadati; Pseudomonadota; Alphaproteobacteria; Hyphomicrobiales; Beijerinckiaceae.